Molecule: non-coding RNA, 47 nt
Organism: Nematostella vectensis (starlet sea anemone)
Lineage: Eukaryota; Metazoa; Cnidaria; Anthozoa; Actiniaria; Edwardsiidae
Source: Rfam
AAAACGGCUCUUUUAGGAGCCACCACAUACAAAAAAAGUCACGAUAU